Molecule: non-coding RNA, 114 nt
Organism: Acanthosepion pharaonis
Lineage: Eukaryota; Metazoa; Mollusca; Cephalopoda; Sepiida; Sepiidae
Source: the annotation of a GenBank genome assembly
UUACGGCCACAUCGUGUUGAAAUACCAGUUCCCGUACGAUCACUGAAGUUAAGCAACGUCCACCAUGGUCUGUACCUAGAUAGGUGACCGCUUGAGAAUACCGGGUGUUGUAAG